Wasmannia auropunctata (little fire ant) is the source of this 515-nucleotide long non-coding RNA. RefSeq lists it as uncharacterized. The record is from RefSeq and is a predicted model, not a curated record. The transcript is spliced from 3 exons. Lineage: Eukaryota; Metazoa; Arthropoda; Insecta; Hymenoptera; Formicidae.
GAGAGAUGACUGGAGAUGACUGACUCUGCUCGAUCGUUUAGACUCGACAAGCUUUAUAGACCUGAGCUUGCAGACAUUCAUAUGUAUCUUGCGAGGAGACCCGUAAAAAUAACGAAGGCAGACCGUCGAAGGCCGUGAGACUGCCGUCGGACAGAAAUUACGCUUCGCAAAACCGUUAUCGUAACUCGCGAGAAAAAUGACCGUUGAUAAGAACACACGUGUUCCAAAGACGAAACGAUCCUUCCCACCCGGACCUGUGCAAUCAUCAACACACUUUUCUACAAGAUACAGAUGCCUGGCUUCAAGAUUUAAGAUCUGUGGGAGUUGUUGCCCGAAAUCAAUUCAAGAAUCAAAGUUAAAGAUUCUUGAAAGAUCUCAGACAUUUGUGCGAAAAAUUGUAAUUUGAAAUCCGAAAAUUUGAAAGACUUAGAGAGUAGACGUAAAGACAAGACUUUUAGUCCUUCUCAAACAAUAGCGUUAAUAAAUAAAAAAAAUAAAAAUUCAAUAUUGAAGAA